GAAGAAAGCUGGCGGCGUGCUUAACACAUGCAAGUCGAACGGAAAGGCCUCUUUCGGGGGGUACUCGAGUGGCGAACGGGUGAGUAACACGUGAGUAACCUGCCCUUGACUUUGGGAUAACUUCAGGAAACUGGGGCUAAUACCGGAUAGGAGCUCCUGCUGCAUGGUGGGGGUUGGAAAGUUUCGGCGGUUGGGGAUGGACUCGCGGCUUAUCAGCUUGUUGGUGGGGUAGUGGCUUACCAAGGCUUUGACGGGUAGCCGGCCUGAGAGGGUGACCGGCCACAUUGGGACUGAGAUACGGCCCAGACUCCUACGGGAGGCAGCAGUGGGGAAUAUUGCACAAUGGGUGGAAGCCUGAUGCAGCAACGCCGUGUGCGGGAUGACGGCCUUCGGGUUGUAAACCGCUUUCGCUCAUGACGAAGCUUUGUGUGACGGUAGUGGGUAAAGAAGCACCGGCUAACUACGUG
Molecule: ribosomal RNA, 467 nt
Filed under: uncultured bacterium
Lineage: Bacteria
Description: partial 16S ribosomal RNA
Rfam family: Bacterial small subunit ribosomal RNA
Source: RNAcentral